RNAcentral lists this ribosomal RNA (496 nucleotides) under uncultured bacterium. RNAcentral describes it as "partial 16S ribosomal RNA". It matches the Rfam family "Bacterial small subunit ribosomal RNA", at positions 28 to 507 of the family's 1533-position model. The record is from RNAcentral.
GACGAACGCUGGCGGCGUGCCUAAUACAUGCAAGUUGAACGCUGAAGGUUGGUAUUUUUGCCGUAUGGCUGGGCAGCGAACGGGUGAGUAACGCGUGGGUAAUCUGCCUUCGAGAGGGUGACAAAUUUCAGAAACGAAUGCUAAUACCUCAUAAAAACGACAAACACAAGCUUGAUGUAUGAAAGAUGCAAUUGCAUCACUCAAACAUGAUCCCGCAGUGUAUUAGCUAUUUGGUGGGGUAAAGGCCCACCACGGCGAUGAAAAAUAGCCGACCUGAGAGGGUGAUCGGCCACAUUGGGACUGAGACACGGCCCAAACUCCUACGGAGGGCGGCGGAGGGGAAUUUUCGGCAUGGGAGACAGUCUGAACGGGCAACGGCGCGUUGAGGGAGGAAGGUCUCGGGUCGGAAAAGCCUGGUUGUUAGGGAAAACCUGGGUAUGGGUGAACUGCUAAGCGAGUGACGGUAACUACCCAGAAAGGCACGGCUAACUACGUG